RNAcentral lists this non-coding RNA (99 nucleotides) under human gut metagenome. Its description in RNAcentral is "TPP riboswitch (THI element)". The stretch from base 4 to 87 matches the Rfam family "TPP riboswitch aptamer (THI element)", at positions 10 to 89 of the family's 105-position model. From Rfam's summary of the family: Vitamin B(1) in its active form thiamin pyrophosphate (TPP) is an essential coenzyme that is synthesised by coupling of pyrimidine and thiazole moieties in bacteria. The previously detected thiamin-regulatory element, thi box was extended, resulting in a new, highly conserved RNA secondary structure, the THI element, which is widely distributed in eubacteria and also occurs in some archaea. Analysis of operon structures identified a large number of new candidate thiamin-regulated genes, mostly transporters, in various prokaryotic organisms. The record is from RNAcentral.
UAUCAGGGGUGCUGACAGCAGUCGGCUGAGAUGACGGUAUGUUCGUCGAACCCUUAAACCUGAUGCGGAUAAUGCCGCCGUAGGAAGUGUGAAUAUUCA